AGGUCCCCUCGGGCUGUGGCCGCAGCGGCAGCGGCAGCGGCAGCGUCUGGCUUGCAGAGUCUCGGCCGGCCGAGGGAAGGGACCCUGAAAGGCCCCCAGUGCCCUCUGGCACCCGCGUCAGAUGCCGGCCAGCGAGGGUGCGGAGAGAGAGAGACCUUGAGCAGCGCCAACCGCGUCCUCCGCUCUGCGAGCCCCCUCUGGAGCAGCGGGAAGUACCCUCGGAGCCUCCAUCCCUGGACGUGGAUCCAGGAGAGUCUGGACCUCUGGGGCCCUUGGCAGAGAGCCUGCAUCCUGAGCACGUCUGGACCAGAGGGGGUGAGGUCUGGCCCCACAUCCAUCAACCCAUCAACAGAACCUGGGAGCAUCCUACCCAGGCCCCAGCCGCAGUGUCUUACAAGGAAGGUGACAGCUCGGAAAGCAUCCAGAGAGCAAUGGCCAAGAGGGCAAAGUGUCUGAAAAUGACUGAAAAUGAAGAGUGGUUACAAGAACGAGGGGUCUUCCGCAGAAGAGAAGGGGACGUGAGAGCUGCUGUGAACACUUGAAGGGGUGUUGCAGACGGUGUGGUCUAAGCUAACUUGGACUAGACCUCGUACUUUUUUCUCUGCAUGGGCCUCCCUAGAACAAACCUCUGACUGGCAAGGCGCAAGUUACAGGAAGGCUGAUUUCAGCUCACUCUAAGAACUUCAGAAGAUUUUUCUCAACCGAGUUUAUAGGAAUAUAGAAAUGACGGUCCAGGGAAGCAGAGAGCAGGUGAUGACUGCCAAGAACAGAGGACAGCAGCUUGUUACAGGCUGGGUGCUUAUACUAGGUGAUGUCUGAGGUCUCUUUCAGUGUGGAGAUGCCAGGAUUCUAAAGCAUUUAGCCCUGGAGCAACAAGAAAGCCCUUUGCUUUGUCAAUUCAAAAACCGUCUGCUGGUCGACCUGUGGUUCAUCUCAUUCCCGGCUGACCGCCUCAACACCUUUCUCUAUUCAGUGGUUCUGGCCUCCCAACUGAAAUAACUAUAAACCCCUCUCCUCUGUCUCGCGCUCUCUUUUUAAGGGUCCUUUUCUUUUCCAAAUAAAGAGCUUAGGAGGGCAUAGGAACA
RNAcentral lists this long non-coding RNA (1085 nucleotides) under Sus scrofa (pig). RNAcentral describes it as "lncRNA (ENSSSCG00040068810.1)". Lineage: Eukaryota; Metazoa; Chordata; Mammalia; Artiodactyla; Suidae. The record is from RNAcentral.